Molecule: ribosomal RNA, 558 nt
Filed under: Penicillium griseofulvum
Lineage: Eukaryota; Fungi; Ascomycota; Eurotiomycetes; Eurotiales; Aspergillaceae
Description: eukaryotic LSU rRNA
Rfam family: 5.8S ribosomal RNA (bases 193-345)
Source: RNAcentral
CCUGCGGAAGGACAUUACUGAGUGAGGGCCCUCUGGGUCCAACCUCCCACCCGUGUUUAUUUACCUUGUUGCUUCGGCGGGCCCGCCUUAACUGGCCGCCGGGGGGCUUACGCCCCCGGGCCCGCGCCCGCCGAAGACACCCUCGAACUCUGUCUGAAGAUUGAAGUCUGAGUGAAAAUAUAAAUUAUUUAAAACUUUCAACAACGGAUCUCUUGGUUCCGGCAUCGAUGAAGAACGCAGCGAAAUGCGAUACGUAAUGUGAAUUGCAAAUUCAGUGAAUCAUCGAGUCUUUGAACGCACAUUGCGCCCCCUGGUAUUCCGGGGGGCAUGCCUGUCCGAGCGUCAUUGCUGCCCUCAAGCCCGGCUUGUGUGUUGGGCCCCGUCCUCCGAUUCCGGGGGACGGGCCCGAAAGGCAGCGGCGGCACCGCGUCCGGUCCUCGAGCGUAUGGGGCUUUGUCACCCGCUCUGUAGGCCCGGCCGGCGCUUGCCGAUCAACCCAAAUUUUUAUCCAGGUUGACCUCGGAUCAGGUAGGGAUACCCGCUGAACUUAAGCAUAUC